GUAGGUGGCAAGCGUUGUCCGGAAUUAUUGGGCGUAAAGCGCGCGCAGGGCGGUCCUUUAAGUCUGAUGUGAAAGCCCACGGCUCAACCGUGGAGGGUCAUUGGAAACUGGGGGACUUGAGUACAGAAGAGGAAAGCGGAAUUCCAAGUGUAGCGGUGAAAUGCGUAGAGAUUUGGAGGAACACCAGUGGCGAAGGCGGCUUUCUGGUCUGUAACUGACGCUGAGGCGCGAAAGCGUGGGGAGCAAACAGGAUUAGAUACCCUGGUAGUCCACGCCGUAAACGAUGAGUGCUAAGUGUUCGGGGGUUUCCGCCCCUUAGUGCUGCAGCUAACGCAUUAAGCACUCCGCCUGGGGAGUACGGCCGCAAGGCUG
This 372-nucleotide ribosomal RNA is filed under the name uncultured organism. RNAcentral describes it as "partial 16S ribosomal RNA". It matches the Rfam family "Bacterial small subunit ribosomal RNA", at positions 527 to 896 of the family's 1533-position model. The record is from RNAcentral.